This 217-nucleotide ribosomal RNA is filed under the name Escherichia coli. Its description in RNAcentral is "partial 16S ribosomal RNA". It matches the Rfam family "Bacterial small subunit ribosomal RNA", at positions 1317 to 1533 of the family's 1533-position model. Lineage: Bacteria; Pseudomonadati; Pseudomonadota; Gammaproteobacteria; Enterobacterales; Enterobacteriaceae. RNAcentral also lists the same sequence under 4 other names. The record is from RNAcentral.
UCCAUGAAGUCGGAAUCGCUAGUAAUCGUGGAUCAGAAUGCCACGGUGAAUACGUUCCCGGGCCUUGUACACACCGCCCGUCACACCAUGGGAGUGGGUUGCAAAAGAAGUAGGUAGCUUAACCUUCGGGAGGGCGCUUACCACUUUGUGAUUCAUGACUGGGGUGAAGUCGUAACAAGGUAACCGUAGGGGAACCUGCGGUUGGAUCACCUCCUUA